GACGAACGCUGGCGGCGUGCUUCACACAUGCAAGUCGAACGGGGAUGCAGCAAAAGCUUGCUUUUAUUGCAUCCUAGUGGCGGACGGGUGAGUAACACGUGAGCAACCUGCCCGACAUACCGGGAUAACAGCGGGAAACCGUUGCUAAUACCGGAUACUCCGUUUCUGGCGCAUGUCAGAGAUGGGAAAGGGUUUACCGAUGUCGGAUGGGCUCGCGUCCCAUUAGCUGGUUGGUGAGGUAACGGCUCACCAAGGCUGCGAUGGGUAGCUGGUCUGAGAGGACGAUCAGACACACUGGACCUGAGACACGGUCCAGACUCCUACGGGAGGCAGCAGUGGGGAAUAUUGCACAAUGGGCGAAAGCCUGAUGCAGCGACGCCGCGUGGAGGAUGAAGGCCUUCGGGUCGUAAACUCCUGUCUGGGGGGAUGAACACUGACAGUACCCCCGGAGGAAGCCCCGGCUAACUACGUGCCAGCAGCCGCCGUAA
RNAcentral lists this ribosomal RNA (488 nucleotides) under uncultured bacterium. RNAcentral describes it as "partial 16S ribosomal RNA". It matches the Rfam family "Bacterial small subunit ribosomal RNA", at positions 28 to 523 of the family's 1533-position model. The record is from RNAcentral.